UACGGGGGGAGCAAGCGUUGUUCGGAUUUACUGGGCGUAAAGGGCGCGUAGGCGGUCAGCACAAGUCAGUUGUGAAAUCUCCGGGCUUAACUCGGAAAGGUCAACUGAUACUGUGCGACUAGAGUGCAGAAGGGGCAACUGAAAUUCUCGGUGUAGCGGUGAAAUGCGUAGAUAUCGAGAGGAACACCUGCGGCGAAGGCGGGUUGCUGGGCUGACACUGACGCUGAGGUGCGAAAGCGUGGGGAGCAAACAGG
This 254-nucleotide ribosomal RNA is filed under the name uncultured bacterium. Its description in RNAcentral is "partial 16S ribosomal RNA". It matches the Rfam family "Bacterial small subunit ribosomal RNA", at positions 524 to 776 of the family's 1533-position model. The record is from RNAcentral.